Molecule: ribosomal RNA, 489 nt
Filed under: uncultured bacterium
Lineage: Bacteria
Description: partial 16S ribosomal RNA
Rfam family: Bacterial small subunit ribosomal RNA
Source: RNAcentral
AUGAACGCUGGCGGCAUGCCUUACCCCUGCAAGUCGCACGGCAGCAUGACCUAGCUUGCUAGGUUGAUGGCGAGUGGCGAACGGGUGAGUAAUGCAUCGGAACGUGCCUUUUAGUGGGGGAUAACGUAGCGAAAGUUACGCUAAUACCGCAUAUUCUCUGAGGAGGAAAGCAGGGGACCUUCGGGCCUUGCGCUAGAAGAGCGGCCGAUGUCGGAUUAGCUAGUUGGUGAGGUAAAGGCUCACCAAGGCAACGAUCCGUAGCGGGUCUGAGAGGAUGAUCCGCCACACUGGGACUGAGACACGGCCCAGACUCCUACGGGAGGCAGCAGUGGGGAAUUUUGGACAAUGGGCGCAAGCCUGAUCCAGCCAUGCCGCGUGAGUGAAGAAGGCCUUCGGGUUGUAAAGCUCUUUCGGCUGGGAAGAAAUCGCACCCUCUAAUACAGGGUGUGGAUGACGGUACCAGCAUAAGAAGCACCGGCUAACUACGUG